UGGCUGGUUGCUGUUUACAUAACGGUGCUAACACUGCUUUGCCAGAAGGGAAAGCAGUUUACGAAGAAAUUCUGCCAUGAGGGAAGAGGUCAGAGAUUCUGGGCUAGAACCUAGGUCUGUGGCUUCUUAGUCCCUGUCAUUUUAUUUACCUCCAAAGAAAUAGCUUCUUUUUUUUUAAUUUCAAAGCUGGUGGGCAGUUCUCACUCUCUUGUGACUCUCUUGGGACAAAUCAUCCGCUGACAAAAGGAGCUGGAGACGCAAUAGCAUGCAACUAAGUCAAUACCAAGCAUGCUUAGGCUAAUGUAACCCUGAACCAGACCAGCAACUGUGGAAUGAGCAGCUGAGUGUGCAGUGACGUCUGCAUCUGCUCCUGUAUGGAAACCUCUCAAAGGCUUUCAGAGCUGUGACUGGACAGGAGAGAAGGGGUGGACAUCAUCUUCUGGGAAUUCAAGUAAGAACUGCUCUUUGGGACCCUUAACUGCAAUCAGAGAAAGAUUGUAACAUGUAGAAAGGAGCUUACAAGACAAAACAACAACAACAACAACACUCUUAUCCAAAAAGAGACCUUCAUUGCCAUCAUCCCUGAAGGCAUUUUUCCAGCUCCUCCUUGAAUACUUUCAGUGUUGAGCCAUUCAUUGUGUCCAGUGGUAGUCAACUCCAAUUUUGGAUGCACUAAAACCUUCUUCUGAAUACUGAAUAAGUCUGCCUCUCUACCAUUUGCCUCUGUUAAUCUAAAUAUACAAACUUCAAAUGGAAACUUUCUCAAUUGUCCCAAGUAUUUAUCUGAUUCUUCUAUGUGUCCCA
Molecule: long non-coding RNA, 804 nt
Filed under: Homo sapiens (human)
Lineage: Eukaryota; Metazoa; Chordata; Mammalia; Primates; Hominidae
Description: HSALNT0020891
Source: RNAcentral